RNAcentral lists this small RNA (134 nucleotides) under Salmonella enterica subsp. enterica serovar Infantis. RNAcentral describes it as "RtT sRNA". It matches the Rfam family "RtT RNA". Rfam says of the family: This family represents a bacterial cis-regulatory element known as RtT RNA. Lineage: Bacteria; Pseudomonadati; Pseudomonadota; Gammaproteobacteria; Enterobacterales; Enterobacteriaceae. RNAcentral also lists the same sequence under 270 other names. The record is from RNAcentral.
UGUAUCUGAAGCCUGACGAGGAUGAGAACCUCCGGGGGCAAGAGGUUCGACCCGAGCGAAGCGAGAGAACGUUGCGUCAGCAACGGCCCGCAGGGCGAGCCACGCAGUGGCGAGUCAUCCUCUAUCACCGACCA